AUACUGAAACUGGUAUCUAAGAGGCAAUUAGUAAAUGUUAGUUACCUAUUUUUCCCCUCAUGCAGAUAUCAGAGAGACUUCUCUACUGCUUGGGACGCUUGUUCAGAGUACAAUUUCCAUAGCAGCAAGAAAAGGAGUUUUUGUUUGUGGAUACUUUAAGGAAGAAGCCAAUAGAGAAACAGAAGGAAACAUACAAGCAUAUAACAAGAAACAGGAAACAGGAAGCACAAUAACCGUCUCUAACCAUUUACAACAGCCUGGGCAGGAAUCUCCACUGUCUAUAAGAAUGAUGAAAUACCUCCAACCUCGCCCUCCCGCCACCUAA
Molecule: long non-coding RNA, 325 nt
Filed under: Rhinopithecus bieti (black snub-nosed monkey)
Lineage: Eukaryota; Metazoa; Chordata; Mammalia; Primates; Cercopithecidae
Description: lncRNA (ENSRBIG00000046588.1)
Source: RNAcentral